ACAGAGGGUGCAAGCGUUAAUCGGAAUUACUGGGCGUAAAGCGUGCGUAGACGGUUACAUAAGUCAGGUGUGAAAGCCCCGGGCUCAACCUGGGAAUUGCAUUUGAGACUGUGUAGCUAGGGUGCGGAAGAGGGAAGCGGAAUUACCGGUGUAGCGGUGAAAUGCGUAGAGAUCGGUAGGAACACCAGUGGCGAAGGCGGUCUCCUGGAGCAUACUUGACGCUGAGGCGCGAAAGCUGGGGGAGCGAACGGGA
Molecule: ribosomal RNA, 253 nt
Filed under: uncultured prokaryote
Description: partial 16S ribosomal RNA
Rfam family: Bacterial small subunit ribosomal RNA
Source: RNAcentral